ACACGCUUUCCCUACACGACGCUCUUCUGUUUUAUUACUGAAUAUGAUGCUCUCUUGUUGCCGUGCUUUAAGACAGGUUUUAACAUCCAGUCAUUAGAGUUUUUCAGU
Molecule: long non-coding RNA, 108 nt
Organism: Octopus sinensis (East Asian common octopus)
Lineage: Eukaryota; Metazoa; Mollusca; Cephalopoda; Octopoda; Octopodidae
Exons: 4
Source: RefSeq, a predicted model, not a curated record